Molecule: long non-coding RNA, 1251 nt
Filed under: Megachile rotundata (alfalfa leafcutting bee)
Lineage: Eukaryota; Metazoa; Arthropoda; Insecta; Hymenoptera; Megachilidae
Description: uncharacterized LOC105663619, transcript variant X2
Source: RNAcentral
CGCCGCGUCGCGAAGACAUGAGAGGAGCCGACAGCGACAGGGGUCUCUGAGCUAUUUGUACAUACACCGAAUGGAAAACGCGGGCCGACUCGCCAACAGACGAAAAAAACUUGCAGGACCAAAGGAACGAGAGCUUCCUUAAUUACCACGUUACACCCUGCGCUCCUUCUUUCCUGUUCACUAUCGUGAAGUUAAUAGAACUAGAUGAUAAAUGCGGUGUGUAGCUAAUUAUCAGCCUGUUUGCCUCUGCGAGCAUGAUGUCUAAAAAUGUUUAUACCUAUGUGGAAGUAGUGGAUGAUGGUAAACGAUAGAAUUACACUCAGGUCGUAAAUGACAAUUUACGAUUAAAUAUACAUACUAUCAUUCUUACUGUCUAAUUCUAACUUAUAUAAUCGAAAAUCAUUGAAGCAACAUGGAAUCGUAACAUGGACCAGUAGAUGACUUCCCUUUUCCUUUCCUUCGCACGGCUAAUGAAAUCGGCGCACUCUUAAUGAGAACGAAGAAAGCCGAUACUGAACGACUUCCAAAGAAGUGACUCCUAUGGGCAGGUUCCGUCGCUCCUUUGACUAGGGAGUAAUAGAGUAUCGGGGCGGAGUAUCUUACCGCAGAGUAGAAACGGAGUAUUCGUAUUUCAAAGGGACGGUCCGUUACGCCGCAACGCUUCUCAUUAUGUUAUGCGCGCCUAAAUGUCAUGAGAAAACCAUACCCGCCCGUACGUCGACAGGAGAACCGACAGCAAUGAAGAUUUUCACGCGGAAGCGUCUCUUCAGGGCUACUUUAUCUUUGUAACAAAAGAAGAUGGCGGACUUAGAUAGAAAAGUCUUAUCUUCAAAAAAACUGACCUGUCGCUUUAUAAUUUCUCAAGCAACAAGCGUUAGAUCAAAAAAGGAUAGGGAUUCGAACAAAUAGUUCAUGUUCUACUUAGAAGGUACUUGAAUACUGCUUUAUAUCACCUACCAUUGGAAAAACUACGAUUGGUUAUUUUGGCCGCCGUCGGUGAAGUUAGGAACGCCGAGUGGGUGUCUAAUUUCGUCGAAGAGGAGGGAUUUCACGCUCGAUCAACGCUGAUUGGACAACGCUGGUCGUUUGCUCUUAUAACUCGUCGUUUGUACGCGAACCCGUACUUUGACAACAGUCUGCUCCACGUGAAUCACAAUUUUCUUUACAAGGACUAGCCGGUUGACUGCUAGCCACCGACGAUUGCAUCAUGAUGGAUUGUACGCUGAGCACCGGCGACGUGGUGACCACCGG